ACUCUCCUCCUACUGACUACGUUUACUACGCCAGCCUUAUAGAUGAUUCAGAGUCUGCAGAACGCUGUCUUUCUACCUAGCCGAUUUCCCCCUAUGGAGGUCGGAGACGCCAGUUUCUCCUGUUCCACAUCGAGAUUUUCCUGACAAGCACCCUGGGGGACCCUAGAGGGCAGCAAUCCUGUCCUAUUCUUCUGUGUGUUCCUGUGCCCAGCCCAAGGCCCCCAGAUGGAAGCUGCACGGAGUGUUUACUGAUUGAAGGAACGAAUGGAGAAGGGGCUCAUCUCUUGCUAAUCUUGAAGACAGUGCACGUGCACUCACAUAAAAUAACUACUCCCUUCAGCUAUAUAGACGCAUUUGACGCCAUGUCAGUGGACAGCCCUACCAAAGCCAGAAGCAAAAAUUCCUCUGUGGAAAAGAUAUGCUGGGCCCUAAUUAGUGGCCCCGUAACCUGGACAAUAUAUCAAGGAAGAGGAGGGAGAGAAAAGAAAGACAGAUAGACAAGCACUUUGGAGUUCCUGAGGAGGUGAGCAGUAGUAAACUGUGGAUGGGAUGCUGGACCAGGCUGGAGGUCAAGAAAAGGUAUUUCAGCAGAGGAAGUUUCAGAUACUAUACUUUAUACUAUAGUUAUAUGAAGAGGCGACCAAAAGAUAUGUAGCCAAAAGUCAAGGAAAAAAGGUGCUGUAACUGAUCCUUCAACAGUCCAUUCUUCUCUUCUAUCAGACCAGCUCUCCUGGUGUAUGAGAAGACCAGUGAAUCCCAUGACCAUUGGCCCACUGCUUUACUUCCUGACUGUAAAGUGAGUUCCUUGGGCAGAAACAGUAUUGUAUGGGUUGUUCUGAUGGCACUUAUUAAGUCCACUGAUAGUGGUCCUGAUGGAAGCAUGAUGGAGAGAAAAUGCAUAUUCAACUCCAAUAUAAAUAUUUAUUCC
This 928-nucleotide long non-coding RNA is filed under the name Equus asinus (donkey). RNAcentral describes it as "lncRNA (ENSEASG00005034129.1)". The record is from RNAcentral. Lineage: Eukaryota; Metazoa; Chordata; Mammalia; Perissodactyla; Equidae.